Molecule: ribosomal RNA, 522 nt
Filed under: Neonaesa rugosa
Lineage: Eukaryota; Metazoa; Arthropoda; Malacostraca; Isopoda; Sphaeromatidae
Description: partial 16S ribosomal RNA
Rfam family: Bacterial large subunit ribosomal RNA
Source: RNAcentral
UCGCCUGUUUUUCAAAAACAUCUUUAGUUAAAAAAACUAAUUCUGCCUGCCCAGUGUAAAUUCAACGGCCGCAGUAUCCUAACUGUGCAAAGGUAGCAUAAUCCUUUGUCUCUUGAUUAGAGACUAGCAUGAACGGCCCGACGAGAGGUUGACUUUCUCCUUUUUUCAUUUAACUUACUACAGGAGUAAAAAAGCUCUUAAUCCUCAGAAAGACGAUAAGACCCUGCAAAACUUCACUCUCUAAGGCCCAUUAAAAGAUCUCAGAUCUCCAGGUUGAGUUUGGUUGGGGCGACCCUUUCACCAACAACAUAAACUAAUGUAACAUACUGAAUGACUCUUUUAAACGCUUCUACUACAUAACAAGUUACUUCAGGGAUAACAGCACUACUUCUCUUUAGAGUUCUCAUCGUCAGAGAAACGUGUGACCUCGAUGUUGAAUUGAAGGUUCUAUGUUAAGCAGAAUUAAUGUAAGAAAGUCUGUUCGACUUUUAAACUCUUUACAUGAUUUGAGUCCAAACCGGA